AUUAAUUUUUCAUCAACAUAUACUUGGUGUAGCUGGCAGGAUAUCAGAGACACCUGCCAGAGGAUAUCCAGAGUCUACUUGGAACCUGCACUUAGUAUGAACAUGAGUGCUUGAGCCCCACCAGCUUCUCAGUACUCCUCAGUUGUUCUGCCAUGUGGUGUCCUCAGGCAACUGAGGACCUGCCAGCAGUGUCUGAAGAUCAGUCCUCAAGAUUUGCAGCAGUUCUAUAGUGGAAACCACCACGACCAUUAUCACAUGGAAGCUCUUGAGCCGGGGAUCGAACCCAUGCUGCCCUUGUGACCUCUGCCACAGCUGUAGCCAUGACAGAUCCAUAAGCAGACAUGCCAGAAGGGAAUUUCCUUAAGAAGUCUGAAGGACCAUGGAGAACAAUGGACAAGGACAAAGCCAAAGUCCAGAGAGGACCAGGUACAGAGCAUUCUUCCCAGAGAGAAGAUCCGAGGACUGACACAAGAACUUCUUUCACUCUGGGGCAGGGAGUCUGUACUUCUUGUCCAACAUGGUUCCUUUUCGCUAUGCACCCCUGCUUUCUAGGCUUCUCUUUUCCAAGUGAGCGUUUUCACUGUACGUAUCCUGGUUUUGCUCCACAUUACAUACUGAAACUUGAGUAGUGGGGGGGUAUAACGUCCUGCUAUUGUAUAGGUAGCUGGAGCUGGACUUGAUGGAGAGGACUGCACAUCUCCCACGGAAGUUAGACUUCAUUUAUUACUCAGGAAAUGGAUUGUAUUUUACAUUAUCUCCCAAGGGGAGGGUUGAAUGUAUUUUAUGCUUGGAAAUAAGGGUGUGCUUGGACAUUUAUACGGCCAGAGGUUUAGAAGCGUCGGAGUUUGCUAAUUGUUCUCCGUGUCCAUUUUCCCUUUCUGCACUUCAGUAAUAGAGCUCCUCUGAGUGUGAGCUUACUGCACAACUGACCAGCAAGAUACUACACUUCCUGUCUCCUUCCAAGUAACUCUUGCUAUGUGGAUUUAAGACCACAGUAACAACAAUCAAGGGACCCUACUUCAGAGUUACAUUUUUCUCUGUGGAAAUACCUGCCUUAAUGCCGUGGGAAGA
Molecule: long non-coding RNA, 1071 nt
Organism: Phacochoerus africanus (Common warthog)
Lineage: Eukaryota; Metazoa; Chordata; Mammalia; Artiodactyla; Suidae
Exons: 5
Source: RefSeq, a predicted model, not a curated record